UUAUUAAAUUAACUUUUUACUCCGACGUAAGAAUGCAGUGUUUUGAUGACCUCCGGGGGGAAUGCCAUUUCUGGCAGGGUCGCCCCCGAAGCAACAUGAUGGGUUCACAAAGGGUUGGAGGUCGGGAUUGCUCCCUCACUCAGUAAUGAUCCCUCCGCAGGUUCACCUACGGAGA
RNAcentral lists this unclassified non-coding RNA (175 nucleotides) under uncultured fungus. Its description in RNAcentral is "sequence contains ITS1". Lineage: Eukaryota; Fungi. The record is from RNAcentral.